AUCAGGGCCAAAAGUCUCAAACCGAAAAAAAAUGAUCUGAAACCGAAAAAAAGAUUUGAAGGCGUAAAAAUGUCAGGGCCCCACCUCCCUGAGUUGUCUCCCCUUCCCUUUCUGUGUGUCUCCCUUGCCUUUGCCCUUUUGUGUCUGUGUUGUUUGUCUCCGUCCGUCUUUUUUUUGUUGUUCCUCAGUUUCCGGAAAUUCCCACUGUCCCUGAAGGCACCAAGGUUGCUGCAAUCAUCUAUUAUCAACUACACCUGCUCCAGUCCACGCACCUGGGGCUGAUUGCCACACUCCCUACAUAAGGGAGAGGUUUGCUUUCAGUCCCCGCCAGAUAAUUGUCUCAGCCAAACGCCGUUCUCCCUCCACUGCCAACCACUGCCUUGCUCUCCGUGUCCCUGGAUUCCCCAGCCUGUUGCCAACUAUUCUCGCCUGCCGUUGUUCCUGCUGAGCCGCUACCAACCCAUACCCUCCCAUAACCUCCUCGACGGAAACACCAUCUACAGUAUUCAUUUUUUUUAUAAUAAACUGUAGUAUUAUCCAUCUCA
Long non-coding RNA from Perca fluviatilis (European perch), 545 nucleotides. RefSeq lists it as uncharacterized. The record is from RefSeq and is a predicted model, not a curated record. The transcript has 2 exons. NCBI's taxonomy places the organism in Eukaryota, Metazoa, Chordata, Actinopteri, Perciformes, Percidae.